CUUUGUUUUUGACUGCCAGAGUUGUUCACAUGGAACCCUUCUCCACUUCAGCUUUCAAGGUUCUCGCUUGAAUAUUUGCUACUACCACCAAGAUCUGCACUCGCGGCGGCUCCACCCAGGCCCGCGCCACAGGCUUCUGCGUGCACCGCGGCGGCCCUCCUACUCCUUGCGGCGUAGCCCUCACGGCUCCCGUGGCCG
This is a long non-coding RNA of Stegastes partitus (bicolor damselfish), 198 nucleotides long. RefSeq lists it as uncharacterized. The record is from RefSeq and is a predicted model, not a curated record. NCBI's taxonomy places the organism in Eukaryota, Metazoa, Chordata, Actinopteri, Pomacentridae. The transcript has 3 exons.